AGCAGCCGCGGUAAUUCCAGCCCCAAUAGCGUGUAUUAAAGUUGUUGCAGUUAAAAAGCUCGUAGUUGAAUUUCGGGAUCAAUACGUCGGUCGUGCUUCGGUACGUACUGGCAUCGUUGGUUUCUCCUUUCUGAAGAACCAUGAUGCCAUUUAUUUGGUGUCGUGGGGAAUCAGGACUGUUACUUUGAAAAAAUUAGAGUGUUUAAAGCAGGCUCACGCUUGAAUACAUUAGCAUGGAAUAAUGAAAUAGGACGUUUGAUUCUAUUUUGUUGGUUUCUAGGAUCGACGUAAUGAUUAAUAGGGAUAGUUGGGGGCAUUAGUAUUCAAUUGUCAGAGGUGAAAUUCUUGGAUUUAUUGAAGACUAACUACUGCGAAAGCAUUUGCCAAGGAUGUUUUCAUUAAUCAAGAACGAAAGUUAGGGGAUCGAAGACGAUCAGGUACCGUCGUAGU
This 450-nucleotide ribosomal RNA is filed under the name uncultured Glomeromycotina. RNAcentral's name for it is "SSU rRNA". It matches the Rfam family "Eukaryotic small subunit ribosomal RNA", at positions 569 to 1024 of the family's 1831-position model. The record is from RNAcentral. Lineage: Eukaryota; Fungi; Glomeromycota.